GAUGAACGCGGGCGGCGUGCCUAACACAUGCAAGUCGAACGGAGAUUACAGACGGAAGUUUUCGGAUGGAAGUUUGUAAUUCUUAGUGGCGGACGGGUGAGUAACGCGUGGGCAACCUGCCCUAUACAGGGGGAUAGCAGCUGGAAACGGCUGGUAAGACCGCAUAAGUCGGUUAAAUCGCAUGAUUUGAUCGGGAAAUGAGCAAUCAGGUAUAGGAUGGGCCCGCGUCCGAUUAGCCAGUUGGCAGGGUAAAAGCCUACCAAAGCGACGAUCGGUAGCCGGACUGAGAGGUCGGACGGCCACAUUGGGGCUGAGACACGGCCCAAACUCCUACGGGAGGCAGCAGUGGGGGAUAUUGCACAAUGGAGGAAACUCUGAUGCAGCGACGCCGCGUGAGUGAAGAAGUAUUUCGGUAUGUAAAGCUCUAUCAGCAGGGAAGA
RNAcentral lists this ribosomal RNA (440 nucleotides) under Catonella morbi. RNAcentral's name for it is "bacterial SSU rRNA". It matches the Rfam family "Bacterial small subunit ribosomal RNA", at positions 28 to 448 of the family's 1533-position model. Lineage: Bacteria; Bacillati; Bacillota; Clostridia; Lachnospirales; Lachnospiraceae. The record is from RNAcentral.